Molecule: ribosomal RNA, 123 nt
Filed under: Defluviitalea raffinosedens
Lineage: Bacteria; Bacillati; Bacillota; Clostridia; Lachnospirales; Defluviitaleaceae
Description: partial 23S ribosomal RNA
Rfam family: Bacterial large subunit ribosomal RNA
Source: RNAcentral
AUAAGAUUUCCCAUAGCAUAAGCUAGUAAGACCCCAGGAAGACUACCUGGUAGAUAGGCUUAAGGUGAAAGCAUGGUAACAUGUUGAGCUGAUAAGUACUAAUAGGUCGAGGGCUUGACCUAA